Molecule: long non-coding RNA, 2973 nt
Filed under: Octopus vulgaris (common octopus)
Lineage: Eukaryota; Metazoa; Mollusca; Cephalopoda; Octopoda; Octopodidae
Source: RNAcentral
UACAUAUCACUUGAUAGGUGUGGCGAAUAAAUGCUAUUGAAAGUAGGAGUGCGAAAAUUCACCUCAUCUGCUUCAAUGCAAACUUCACACGAAUUUCUCCUUUUGCGAUUACAAUAUUUUUCUGUCUAUUUUCUUUCUGCAACAGCUUCUAAACACGACAGUCAGCAAUCAACACCAUCGAACGACGACGACGAUCCUACAUGAGAACGUCUAUGUGACCACCGAACCUACAUGAAAUAGUAACCAAAUAUUCCUCCAAUUACACCCCACCGCUGCUGCCCCUUUAAACAAACUAUGGUCUUAGUCUUAAUAUUCAUUUUAAAAAAUAGUCUGGUCGUCUUUUAUCUCUUAUCUUUUACUUAGACUGCGGCCAUGCUGAGGCAUCACUUUGGAGUAUAUUAAUCAAAUAUAUCCGACCCCAAUGUUUUUAAUUAUGGUUUUAUUCUAUUGAAUCCGUUCGACAAACCACUAAGUUACGAAGUUGUGAACAAACCAACACCGGUUGUCAAGCGGUAUUGUGUACAGUCACAUCCACUUACAAGCACAGGGACACACACAUAUAUACAUAUACACGACAGACUUUCACAGUUUCCUAUUUCUUUAUUGCCCACAAGGGGCUGAACACAGAGGGGACAAACAAGGACAGACAAACGGAUUAAGUCGAUUACAUCGACCCCAGUGCGUAACUGGUACUUAAUUUAUCGACCCCGAAAGGAAGAAAGGCAAACUCGACCCCGGCGGAAGUUGAACUCAGAACGUAGCGGAAGACGAAAUACCUAUUUCUUUACUACCCACAAGGGGCUAAACACAGAAGUGACUAAUAAGGACAGACAAACGGAUUAAGCCGAUUACAUCAACCCCAGUGCGCAACUAUUAAUUUAUCGACCCCGAAAGGAUGAAAGACAAAGUCGACCUCGGCGGAAUUUGAACUCAGAACGUAACGGUAGACGAAUACCGCUAAGCAUUUCGUCUGGCGUGCUAACGAUUCUGCCAGCUCGCAGACUUUCACAGUUUCCGUCAGCCAAAUUCACUCACGAGGCUUUGAUCAGCCUGGGGGCUAGAGUAAAAGAUACUUGCUCAAGGUGCCAUGUAGGAGUGCAUCUGAAACCACGUGGCUGCAAAACGAUCUUUUUAACCACACGCCCAUGCGUGCGCCUAAAAUUGCUGAAAUCCUUUUGGAAUUCAUGUGGUUGGACCAGGGACUAAAAUCGACACUACAACUACCACAUCUGUACUAGCGACAAUGAACACAUUUUUGCUAAAAUAGUAAAUGUCUUAACAUCAUCCUACAGUUUCAGUCACGAUUGUUUCCCCUUUAACUUCAAUUUCUAGCCCCCCACCCAAAAAAAAACCUUCCGCCGAAUGACACUUUUACAACCAGUUUUCCAUGUUUUGCAAACGCAAAAUUAUAAUCGUUCUCAGAAUUGUUUUUGAUAUAAAGUUUAAGUGGUGAGUGGAUAAGUUGAUACCAUCGACCCCAAUACUUGACAGGUUCUUUAUUUUAUCAACCCUGAAAAGGUGAAAGGCAAACUUGACUCCAGCAGACUUUGAUUCAGAAAGUUAAGAGCCGGAGGAAGUUCAACAAGGAAUUUUCUCCAAGGCCCAAUCCACAUAAUUCCCAAUAAUUUGAAGAUUAUAAUAACGAACUAUUUAGGACAAUACAAACAAAGUACAGUAAGGAUUUAUAUACGUGUAAACAAUAAAAAGAACAAUAACAAAAUUUCCAAUAGUGGGAGUAACAAUUAGGGGCAAAAAUGGAACCCUACAGAUCCUGAAAUACCCCACCAUCGACAGGCACUUUUCUUCCAACCGUUCUCUUCAGUCUACGAGCCCGGGUUCAGUGAGGGUUCGCUUGAGCCAUUCUUGCCGCUUUCAACAAAUAUACUGGGAAAGCAUACAAAUAAUGAAAUUAUAUUGGACCAUGGGGCAUUAUCAGUCAUUUUUCUACUCAAAGACGAUACAAUGUUUAACUAAGAAUGUUUUUUUUCCGAAAAUGUGUUUAGAAUAUAAGUUUUCUACCUGAUUUAAAUAUUUUAUUUCUAAAAAAAAAACCCCAUCAUUUAAUCACGGGAAUCCUCACAGCAGCUCUCUGAUAUUUCCUGCCCCUUGUGCGCCCACAACUCCCUUAUGCGAAUGCUUAUGCCAAAGUUGAAAACCAUAGCUUAGAGUAGUGGCUCCACCUACAAGCUUUCUAUUAUAUAAUCAAUAGUGGCCCCAUCGUUGGAGGAUUAGACUGGCCAUCGGUGGAAUUUGAACUAAGAAUGUAAACAGAACAGACAAGUGCAUGUCCUAUGCUAGAAAGUUCUGGAAAUCCACCGGGAUGAUAAAAGACAAAGUUGAACUCGACAGGAUUUGAACCCAAAUCGAAGAGGACCAGGGCAAAUAACUAGACAGCAUUUUUACCCUGCACUCUCGCAACUCUACCAAGCCCGCACCUUAUAAUGAGGAAUUAUUGCGAACGUAAUACGCACACGGACGCGCGUUUUGUGGGCGAAGGAAGACUUAAUUAAAUCGACCCAGGUAAAUUACUGGUAUUCCUUAUGCCGACAUUCCUCCACAAGUCGUAUUGUUGAAGGGCACGAGAAGACACAGGUAAGACUUGAACUCGGAAUAUAAAGGGACGUAAGUAACCAAAUACAGCAGAUCAUUUUGUUCGACACCCUACCAAUGAUAAACUACGAUGAUUUCUAUCAAAAACAUAAAGCUGAGCGAUUGUAGUCAAUCAUAUUGACCCAAGUACUUGAAUAUAAAUUUAUCUAAAAAAAAAAAGGGUCUCUUAAUUAUUAACAAUCAUUUAAUUGUAACUAUUUGUAUCAUUAAAAAAGCUAACAUGUCUUAAUACAUUGCAUAAUUUCUGCAUCCGCAUCACUUUGCUUUUAUAGAUAACUUUGUUUUUGUUUAUCAUCACAUAUUUCUAACCCGUUUGUUUACAUGUCAUUGUAUGAAUGAAUGGGCCCUGUUGGCAAAUAAAGU